RNAcentral lists this unclassified non-coding RNA (339 nucleotides) under Hevea brasiliensis (rubber tree). The record is from RNAcentral. Lineage: Eukaryota; Viridiplantae; Streptophyta; Magnoliopsida; Malpighiales; Euphorbiaceae.
UAGAGAAUGAGCUGGAAUUGGUUGCAAUUGGUUAGGCUGUUUGUUAGAGCCUAUAGUAUAAAUAAUUGUAAUCCCUACUCUUUUGAGUGUGAAAUGAAUGGGAAUUCUCUCUCCCCCUUGAAUUUCUCUUCUUUUCUGUGAGCCUCUCUCUUUCUUCCCUGCUGUUUUCUUCUAUUUCUUCUUUAAAAUAACUCAAAUCAUAACAAAUUAGGUCGAUGUUGAAAAGCUGAGCGAGAAUAUGUGUCACUGCUAAAACAUUGAGUAAGGAUAUGGGUCUCAGCAAUCGGUAAGUGGGUGCAGCUGAUCAAAAAAAGAAGGAACGGUUCAUGGUUUUCUGAA